UCUCCGUAGGUGAACCUGCGGAAGGAUCAUUCAUAAUAAAGUGUUUUAUGGCACUUUUUAAAAAUCCAUAUCCACCUUGUGUGCAAUGUUAGAACUCGUCAAUCUUGGCGAGAUUUUUAUACAUCAACUCAUUCUUUAACUAAUUUGUCUGAAAAAUAUUAUGAAUACUUAAUUCAAAAUACAACUUUCAACAACGGAUCUCUUGGCUCUC
This 211-nucleotide unclassified non-coding RNA is filed under the name plant metagenome. Its description in RNAcentral is "partial contains small subunit ribosomal RNA, internal transcribed spacer 1, and 5.8S ribosomal RNA". The record is from RNAcentral.